Molecule: ribosomal RNA, 478 nt
Filed under: uncultured bacterium
Lineage: Bacteria
Description: partial 16S ribosomal RNA
Rfam family: Bacterial small subunit ribosomal RNA
Source: RNAcentral
GACGAACGCUGGCGGCGUGCUUAACACAUGCAAGUCGAACGGUAAGGCCCUUCGGGGUACACGAGUGGCGAACGGGUGAGUAACACGUGGGUGAUCUGCCCUGCACUUCGGGAUAAGCCUGGGAAACUGGGUCUAAUACCGGAUAGGACCACUGCCUGCAUGGGUGGUGGUGGAAAGCUUUUGCGGUUUGGGAUGGGCCCGCGGCCUAUCAGCUUGUUGGUGGGGGGAUGGCCUACCAAGGCGACGACGGGUAGCCGGCCUGAGAGGGUGACCGGGCACGCUGGGGCGAGGGUACGGCCCGGACUCCGACGGGAGGCAGCAGUGGGGAAUAUUGCACAAUGGGCGCAAGCCUGAUGCAGCGACGCCGCGUGAGGGAUGACGGCCUUCGGGUUGUAAACCUCUUUCAGCACCGACGAAGCGCAAGUGACGGUAGGUGCAGAAGAAGGACCGGCCAACUACGUGCCAGCCGCCGCGGUAA